RNAcentral lists this ribosomal RNA (253 nucleotides) under uncultured bacterium. Its description in RNAcentral is "partial 16S ribosomal RNA". It matches the Rfam family "Bacterial small subunit ribosomal RNA", at positions 524 to 776 of the family's 1533-position model. The record is from RNAcentral.
UACGUAGGGUGCAAGCGUUAAUCGGAAUUACUGGGCGUAAAGCGUGCGCAGGCGGUUAUGUAAGACAGUUGUGAAAUCCCCGGGCUCAACCUGGGAACUGCAUCUGUGACUGCAUAGCUAGAGUACGGUAGAGGGGGAUGGAAUUCCGCGUGUAGCAGUGAAAUGCGUAGAUAUGCGGAGGAACACCGAUGGCGAAGGCAAUCCCCCGGACCUGUACUGACGCUCAUGCACGAAAGCGUGGGGAGCAAACAGG